This 253-nucleotide ribosomal RNA is filed under the name uncultured bacterium. Its description in RNAcentral is "partial 16S ribosomal RNA". It matches the Rfam family "Bacterial small subunit ribosomal RNA", at positions 524 to 776 of the family's 1533-position model. The record is from RNAcentral.
GACGAGGGGUCCUAGCGUUGUUCGGAAUCAUUGGGCGUAAAGCGUGUGUAGGCGGUCUUGUAAGUCAGGUGUGAAAGCCCCGGGCUCAACCCGGGAAGUGCAUCUGAUACUGCUUGACUUGAGUACUGGAGAGGAUAGUGGAAUUCCUGGUGUAGUGGUGAAAUACGUAGAUAUCAGGAGGAACACCGGUGGCGAAGGCGGCUAUCUGGCCAUGUACUGACGCUGAGACACGAAAGCGUGGGGAGCAAACAGG